This 447-nucleotide small RNA is filed under the name Providencia alcalifaciens DSM 30120. Its description in RNAcentral is "cspA thermoregulator". It matches the Rfam family "cspA thermoregulator". Lineage: Bacteria; Pseudomonadati; Pseudomonadota; Gammaproteobacteria; Enterobacterales; Morganellaceae. The record is from Rfam by way of RNAcentral.
AUCGGUUUGAAAGUACAGACCUAUUUAUGAAAGCAAGUUUUGAAAAGUUCCCCAUCAAGUGUUAUCCAUUGAUAUCCACUCGUAGUGAAUUCCUCCUAAUUAGUUCCAUAAGUAUAAAGAAGUAUCAAACCUAUAUGCCGUGUGGCAACAAUUAAAAUUUAAAGGAAUUCAAUAUGUCUAAUACAAUGACUGGUUUAGUAAAAUGGUUUAACGAAUCUAAAGGCUUUGGCUUUAUUUCUCCUGCUGAUGGCAGCAAAGAUGUGUUCGUACACUUCUCUGCAAUUCAAAGCGACAGCUUCAAAACGCUGAACGAAGGACAAAAAGUUAGCUUCUCAGUAGAGAAUGGUGCAAAAGGUCCAGCGGCUGUAAACGUCGUAGCUCUUUAAGAUACCCGCUUAAUACAGCGCUUAAAAUUUCAAACCCCUGCCAAUUGGCGGGGGUUUUUCG